ACACGCCUGUUUGUCUGUAUAUAUGUAGGUGUUUUAAUUGCUGCUAUGUGCCUCUCGCAACACCAGGCAAAGGAACAUCUCUGGGACCAGGGAGCAGCUGGAUUUCCCGGGAACCUGAGGCUAGAGGGCCAAACGGACUUUCCCAGGAGAUGUCGGGGACCAGCAGCUGGAAUGGGCCUGGGAAAUCCCUCCAGACAGUCUCAGCCCCAUGUGCAUAUCAGACAAGGGAAAAACGGACAUUGCAGGUGUCAGGAUCUACAACGAGACCAGUGGGACAGCGUCCAGUUUCCCUUAGAAGGCCUUCAAAAUCCAGAGCAAUACACCCAGACGUUUUCCUCAAGCCUAAGUUAGUUUGGGCCUGGUUAAUUCGACAGGCACCAUUCACCUCGUUUCCUCAACUUGCUGGGGAGCUGUGUUCAUCCUCUUCUAGCCGUUCUCCUGAAUUCCUCUGCUCUCUGAAGUGCAGCGCUGGUGCAGACAGAGCAUGAAUACAAAUGUGGGAGCCUUUUCUGCAGCUCAAAUCUGUUCUUCCUCAGGCUGUGGAAUCAUUUCAUAUAUGGCAAUAAUAGGCUGCAAACACUGCAUGUACUCUGACAGCUGUAAAACCACGUUUCAGAGAUACAAAA
Molecule: long non-coding RNA, 626 nt
Organism: Tyto alba (common barn owl)
Lineage: Eukaryota; Metazoa; Chordata; Aves; Strigiformes; Tytonidae
Exons: 2
Source: RefSeq, a predicted model, not a curated record